This 2770-nucleotide ribosomal RNA is filed under the name Escherichia coli. RNAcentral's name for it is "partial 23S ribosomal RNA". It matches the Rfam family "Bacterial large subunit ribosomal RNA". The record is from RNAcentral. Lineage: Bacteria; Pseudomonadati; Pseudomonadota; Gammaproteobacteria; Enterobacterales; Enterobacteriaceae.
GUUAAGCGACUAAGCGUACACGGUGGAUGCCCUGGCAGUCAGAGGCGAUGAAGGACGUGCUAAUCUGCGAUAAGCGUCGGUAAGGUGAUAUGAACCGUUAUAACCGGCGAUUUCCGAAUGGGGAAACCCAGUGUGUUUCGACACACUAUCAUUAACUGAAUCCAUAGGUUAAUGAGGCGAACCGGGGGAACUGAAACAUCUAAGUACCCCGAGGAAAAGAAAUCAACCGAGAUUCCCCCAGUAGCGGCGAGCGAACGGGGAGCAGCCCAGAGCCUGAAUCAGUGUGUGUGUUAGUGGAAGCGUCUGGAAAGGCGCGCGAUACAGGGUGACAGCCCCGUACACAAAAAUGCACAUGCUGUGAGCUCGAUGAGUAGGGCGGGACACGUGGUAUCCUGUCUGAAUAUGGGGGGACCAUCCUCCAAGGCUAAAUACUCCUGACUGACCGAUAGUGAACCAGUACCGUGAGGGAAAGGCGAAAAGAACCCCGGCGAGGGGAGUGAAAAAGAACCUGAAACCGUGUACGUACAAGCAGUGGGAGCACGCUUAGGCGUGUGACUGCGUACCUUUUGUAUAAUGGGUCAGCGACUUAUAUUCUGUAGCAAGGUUAACCGAAUAGGGGAGCCGAAGGGAAACCGAGUCUUAACUGGGCGUUAAGUUGCAGGGUAUAGACCCGAAACCCGGUGAUCUAGCCAUGGGCAGGUUGAAGGUUGGGUAACACUAACUGGAGGACCGAACCGACUAAUGUUGAAAAAUUAGCGGAUGACUUGUGGCUGGGGGUGAAAGGCCAAUCAAACCGGGAGAUAGCUGGUUCUCCCCGAAAGCUAUUUAGGUAGCGCCUCGUGAAUUCAUCUCCGGGGGUAGAGCACUGUUUCGGCAAGGGGGUCAUCCCGACUUACCAACCCGAUGCAAACUGCGAAUACCGGAGAAUGUUAUCACGGGAGACACACGGCGGGUGCUAACGUCCGUCGUGAAGAGGGAAACAACCCAGACCGCCAGCUAAGGUCCCAAAGUCAUGGUUAAGUGGGAAACGAUGUGGGAAGGCCCAGACAGCCAGGAUGUUGGCUUAGAAGCAGCCAUCAUUUAAAGAAAGCGUAAUAGCUCACUGGUCGAGUCGGCCUGCGCGGAAGAUGUAACGGGGCUAAACCAUGCACCGAAGCUGCGGCAGCGACACUAUGUGUUGUUGGGUAGGGGAGCGUUCUGUAAGCCUGUGAAGGUGUACUGUGAGGUAUGCUGGAGGUAUCAGAAGUGCGAAUGCUGACAUAAGUAACGAUAAAGCGGGUGAAAAGCCCGCUCGCCGGAAGACCAAGGGUUCCUGUCCAACGUUAAUCGGGGCAGGGUGAGUCGACCCCUAAGGCGAGGCCGAAAGGCGUAGUCGAUGGGAAACAGGUUAAUAUUCCUGUACUUGGUGUUACUGCGAAGGGGGGACGGAGAAGGCUAUGUUGGCCGGGCGACGGUUGUCCCGGUUUAAGCGUGUAGGCUGGUUUUCCAGGCAAAUCCGGAAAAUCAAGGCUGAGGCGUGAUGACGAGGCACUACGGUGCUGAAGCAACAAAUGCCCUGCUUCCAGGAAAAGCCUCUAAGCAUCAGGUAACAUCAAAUCGUACCCCAAACCGACACAGGUGGUCAGGUAGAGAAUACCAAGGCGCUUGAGAGAACUCGGGUGAAGGAACUAGGCAAAAUGGUGCCGUAACUUCGGGAGAAGGCACGCUGAUAUGUAGGUGAGGUCCCUCGCGGAUGGAGCUGAAAUCAGUCGAAGAUACCAGCUGGCUGCAACUGUUUAUUAAAAACACAGCACUGUGCAAACACGAAAGUGGACGUAUACGGUGUGACGCCUGCCCGGUGCCGGAAGGUUAAUUGAUGGGGUUAGCGCAAGCGAAGCUCUUGAUCGAAGCCCCGGUAAACGGCGGCCGUAACUAUAACGGUCCUAAGGUAGCGAAAUUCCUUGUCGGGUAAGUUCCGACCUGCACGAAUGGCGUAAUGAUGGCCAGGCUGUCUCCACCCGAGACUCAGUGAAAUUGAACUCGCUGUGAAGAUGCAGUGUACCCGCGGCAAGACGGAAAGACCCCGUGAACCUUUACUAUAGCUUGACACUGAACAUUGAGCCUUGAUGUGUAGGAUAGGUGGGAGGCUUAGAAGUGUGGACGCCAGUCUGCAUGGAGCCGACCUUGAAAUACCACCCUUUAAUGUUUGAUGUUCUAACGUUGACCCGUAAUCCGGGUUGCGGACAGUGUCUGGUGGGUAGUUUGACUGGGGCGGUCUCCUCCUAAAGAGUAACGGAGGAGCACGAAGGUUGGCUAAUCCUGGUCGGACAUCAGGAGGUUAGUGCAAUGGCAUAAGCCAGCUUGACUGCGAGCGUGACGGCGCGAGCAGGUGCGAAAGCAGGUCAUAGUGAUCCGGUGGUUCUGAAUGGAAGGGCCAUCGCUCAACGGAUAAAAGGUACUCCGGGGAUAACAGGCUGAUACCGCCCAAGAGUUCAUAUCGACGGCGGUGUUUGGCACCUCGAUGUCGGCUCAUCACAUCCUGGGGCUGAAGUAGGUCCCAAGGGUAUGGCUGUUCGCCAUUUAAAGUGGUACGCGAGCUGGGUUUAGAACGUCGUGAGACAGUUCGGUCCCUAUCUGCCGUGGGCGCUGGAGAACUGAGGGGGGCUGCUCCUAGUACGAGAGGACCGGAGUGGACGCAUCACUGGUGUUCGGGUUGUCAUGCCAAUGGCACUGCCCGGUAGCUAAAUGCGGAAGAGAUAAGUGCUGAAAGCAUCUAAGCACGAAACUUGCC